CCUACGGGGGGCAGCAGUGAGGAAUAUUGGUCAAUGGACGCAAGUCUGAACCAGCCAAGUAGCGUGCAGGAUGACGGCCCUCCGGGUUGUAAACUGCUUUUAGUUGGGAAUAAAAGGGGGCUCGUGAGCCCCGUAUUGUAUGUACCAUCAGAAAAAGCAUCGGCUAACUCCGUGCCAGCAGCCGCGGUAAUACGGAGGAUGCGAGCGUUAUUCGGAUUUAUUGGGUUUAAAGGGUGCGUAGGCGGACUGGAAAGUCAGCGGUAAAAUCGAGAGGCUCAACCUCUUUCCGCCGUUGAAACUGUCGG
Molecule: ribosomal RNA, 305 nt
Filed under: uncultured bacterium
Lineage: Bacteria
Description: bacterial SSU rRNA
Rfam family: Bacterial small subunit ribosomal RNA
Source: RNAcentral